Albula goreensis is the source of this 74-nucleotide non-coding RNA. The record is from the annotation of a GenBank genome assembly. NCBI's taxonomy places the organism in Eukaryota, Metazoa, Chordata, Actinopteri, Albuliformes, Albulidae.
GUCUCUGUGGUGGAACUGGUCAACGCAUUUGGCUGUUAACCAAUAGAUUGGUGGUUUGAGGCCCCCCAGGGACG